GAGUAACGGCGAGUGAAAUGGGACAUGUUCAGUGCUGAAUCUGUCUGCUUUUGCAGAUGGAGGUGUAGCAUUAGGUUUCCUGCUGAGCUGGCUUGACAGUGCAUUAGGUUUCCUUUGAGAAGGAUUCCGUGGAAGGUGUAAGGCCUGUAAAUGCAUUGGAUACCAGUUUUAACAGGUCUCCUUGAGUAGGCCUGCUUGAGAGUGCAGGUUGAAUGGGUGGUAGGUUUCACCCAAAGCAAAAUAUCUGUUUGAGUCUGAUAGCGAACAAGUACCAUGAGGGAAAGUUGAAAAGAACUUUGAAGAGAGGGUUCAAUAGUACGUGAAACCAUAUAAGGGUAAAGGCAUGGAUUGGCUGUUUUGGUUGCAGAUAGGCUGCAUGAGUGCUUGCAUUUGUGUAGUUUCAAUUUGCACCAAAAGUAUCCGGCAAAUCUGUCACAUAAGGAGCUGCUUUCAGCUUAAAGCAACUACAUUUUGGUUGCUGCUCCAUAUGGUUUUGAUGCAGAAUUUGCAGCAUGUGCAUAAAUAUGCUUUGCAUUGGAUGCUUAUGCCUAAUACAUGCCUCCCGUCUUGAAACACGGACCAAGGAGUCUAACGUUCAUGCAAACCAAUGAGCUUUAAGCUUACUGGUGAAAUGAAAGUAAUUUGGAUGAGCAGCAUUCAUUGCUGUGCAAUCCUGGUUUGUCUUUCUAGGCAACACCUGAGUAUGACUGUUAGGACCCGAAAGAUGGUGAACUAUGCCUGAGUAGACUGAAGCCAGGGGAAACUCUGGUGGAAGGUCGUAGGGAUUCUGACGUG
RNAcentral lists this ribosomal RNA (795 nucleotides) under Problognathia minima. RNAcentral's name for it is "eukaryotic LSU rRNA". It matches the Rfam family "Eukaryotic large subunit ribosomal RNA", at positions 81 to 893 of the family's 3401-position model. The record is from RNAcentral. Lineage: Eukaryota; Metazoa; Gnathostomulida; Bursovaginoidea; Problognathiidae.